GGGCUGCUAGGUGCACUUGAGGACUUGUUGCGGCGCUUAUUUCUGCUUAGGGCUAGGGCUUUUUUUUGUUUUUUUGUUCUGGGCUAGAAUUUGUUUUGGGCCGCUUAUUUGUUAGGUUUGAACUAUUUUUUUUCUAUUCGGACCCAGGCCGAUUGGGCCUUAUUACAGCUGCCCCUCUUUACUCAUUGUCGUGUGACGGGAAUAGAGCAAAGACCUAAGGCCCAAUUGUGCCUGAGUCUUGAUUUCUUCAGCGCAAAAAUGGCUUCAAAUAGCUUUAUUCCUUCUUACUGCAUCUUCAUAGGUAUAGGAACUAGU
RNAcentral lists this long non-coding RNA (315 nucleotides) under Gossypium raimondii (Peruvian cotton). RNAcentral's name for it is "long non-coding RNA (GRAI_LNC008977)". Lineage: Eukaryota; Viridiplantae; Streptophyta; Magnoliopsida; Malvales; Malvaceae. The record is from RNAcentral.